This 92-nucleotide transfer RNA is filed under the name Victivallales bacterium. RNAcentral's name for it is "tRNA-Ser". It matches the Rfam family "tRNA". Rfam says of the family: Transfer RNA (tRNA) molecules are approximately 80 nucleotides in length. The record is from RNAcentral. Lineage: Bacteria; Pseudomonadati; Lentisphaerota; Lentisphaeria; Victivallales.
GGAGAGGUGGCUGAGUGGCCGAAGGCAGCGGUUUGCUAAACCGUCGUAGGUGUAACAACCUACCGGGGGUUCGAAUCCCCCCCUCUCCGCCA